RNAcentral lists this unclassified non-coding RNA (528 nucleotides) under Hevea brasiliensis (rubber tree). Lineage: Eukaryota; Viridiplantae; Streptophyta; Magnoliopsida; Malpighiales; Euphorbiaceae. The record is from RNAcentral.
UUUUUUUUUUUUUCUUUGGAGAAAUUAUAGGGAGUUAGUUUUGUUGUUGUUUAAUUGAGUUCUUCAUUCAGAUCAUAAGAACGUAAAGAAGGAACGUAACUUAUGUGUAAUGUUUAACUUUUUCCCCUAUUUCUUAAUUUCGCUCCUUUUAUAGUUGAAAUAUCUUUCUUGACAAAUAUAUUUUUGUGAAAUUAAAAGAGUUGAAAUUUGAAAAAGGAAUUUAUCAUUAAACCACUAAGUGCGAUUUUGCUCCCCAUGGAAGUUGAAUUCAAAGUUUAGUUUUUUGGGUCUAGUAUCUGGAAAAUAUUUACACAGAUUAAUUUGAAGUUAUACAGACUUGUAAUUACUAGAAAAUUUUCAAUGUGAAAACAAUUUCUUUUUAUAGUUUUUCUUAGUUUAAAAGUCAAACCCAAAGUUUAAUUCCAUAGCCUUAAGUUCCUUGCUAUUGAAAUAUUAAUUCAAUGAGUGUUUUUUGUAUCAUUUCAUUGGUAAUGAAUUGUAUCAGAGGGUACCAAAUUUCAUUGGAGG